Molecule: long non-coding RNA, 2629 nt
Organism: Sinocyclocheilus grahami
Lineage: Eukaryota; Metazoa; Chordata; Actinopteri; Cypriniformes; Cyprinidae
Source: Ensembl
CUGUCAUAAAAACUUCACGAAUUUAUUCAAACAUAAAUUAAACAUUGAAGAACAGUAAUAUUUAUAAUGAAUAUGUUAUAUGGUGCAUAUAUUACGUAGAAUGCCUCUCUCUACAGUUUAUUUUUCUAUCUGACUUGAGUUUAUGGUCACGAAUAUGUUUUUCUGAGGUAAAUGUGACGUUACGUGGCAUUGUUUACAAGGCGUUAUAUUGAAGUCUUUGCGCGGCUGAAACACUGAUUGAGAGAUUACACGAGACGGGAUACGGAUUGUAAAGUUGUACUUUCUUUUAACUUACCUUCGGAUGUUUAGUCAAGUUUAUUUUGUGCUAUAACUAGUAAUAAAGCGGAGGAGAUGAUCAGUUCACUGAGGCGCUACAGCGAUCACUCCACAUUAAACAGCGCCAAAACUGCAUUUAUUGUUUGAAUACUGCAAUACAACAGACAGAAUUUGAAAUCGGAGACUGUUUCAUAUUAAAAGUACCAAAGCACAAAGCUUAGGUGCCCUUCAAUGUUCCGUCCAUUAAGGCGAGACAAAAACAUGAAUAACGUAACUGAAAACAGGCCAGACUAAUCGAUUCUUGGGAUUUAAGAAUCAAUAUCGUUUCGUAAAAAUGAGAAUCGAUUGAAAUCGCGAGAUCAGUAUUUUUUUACCCAGCCCUAUUGGUGUCUGUCUGUGUGUGUGUCUCUGUCUGUGUGUGUGUCUCUGUCUGUCUGUGUGUCUCUGUCUGUCUGUGUGUGUGUGUGUGUGAGAUGAACAUGUUCGGUUGGAGCCCUUAACAGCGCAGCACGUUCGAGGAUGUCCGGGACGCGGAGGACGCUCUGCUCAAUCUGGACCGGAAGUGGGUCUGUGGACGGCAGAUCGAGAUCCAGUUCGCUCAGGGAGACCGCAAGACGCCGGGGCAGAUGAAGACCAAAGAGCGGCAGUCGCCACGCAGCCACUCGCGAUACGAUGACUACGAUCGGCGCAGACGCUCACGCAGCCGCGACAGACGCAGGUCUCGCAGCCCGUCCUACGACAGGCGCCGCAGACGAUCCCAGAGCCCUAGAGAGUCCAGAGGAGGAACACACCGCAGACGCAGCCGAGAACACGACAGGCCCAGGCCGUCUGCACGUGACCGUAGCCGAAGCCCCGCCCACUCCAAGAGAAGGGGCGGAGCUCAGUCGCGCUCCAGGUCCAAGUCCAGCAGCCCGCGGGAAACCAGCCAGCUCCACACAGAGAGUCCGGACGCCGCUGAGGAGAAGACGCAGACGCGCUCCCCGUCCCGCUCCAGAUCCCGCUCCAGAUCCCGCUCCUGGGCCGGACGCAAGUCCUGGGGGCAUUAGAGUCCAUGCAAACCUGUUUAGGUUUUGUCGUUUGCGUGAAUGUCUGCGAGUGACAGCCGUCUGUCUGUUUCUUUUAAUACGGAGGCAAUCAAAGCAUCGCCUGUUUUAGCACACGCAUCUGCUAGCGGCUGCAGUGUUAGCAUUGAUGAUGUCUGUGUGGUUUAGUUUACAAGCGCAGCUGCGCAGAAUGAGAGAUGAAAAUCACCUCAAUAUUUUUGUAAGAGAUUUUUGUUUUAGUUGAUCAGUAAUGGCCAUCCAUUUAAAACGGUCUUCCACGAGUGUCUCGGAUGUGUUUUAUUGUGAAAUCUGCAGGCCUUUUACAUGUAACCUCAGAAUGAAAUAAAUUUCUUGUGCAUCAGUAUGUUUUCCAGUUUAUCCUCAGAUCUGGAUUCCUAAUCAUUGUGAAGUAUAUGAAGCUGGUUUGGCACAAUGUGUGCUUGUGGGUUUGGUUUGGAGUAAUAAUUACAAAGGAAUCAUCGCAUGUUGUGACUUCAGCCUUCUGAUUGAGUUUCCAAAACUUAAAUUGAGUUCACCCUGAUCUUGCCAUUUACUCGCCCUCAUGUUUUUCCAAAUCUGUUCACUCUUUAUACUAAAGGUUCCAGAAGAGGGGUUUUCACAGUGAGGCCACGGCAGAAACGGGUUUAGUUCCUAAAGAACCUUUCAUUGCUCAGUUCAUAGAACAACCACUUUUUGUCUUGGUGUGAAGAAUAUUUUAAUAAAUCCAAAGAACCUUUCCCCACAAUAAAGAACUUUUAUUUGGAAAUUGAUGCCACAGAUUUGAGUGUCGCAGAAAAGAUUUUUUGAAAAAUGUUUGUUUUCCCAUAUAAAAAAAAAAAUCAUACCAUGUACUAUAUACAGUUGUAUACAACAUAUGAAAGUCAAAAUAUAAUCUUUUGUGUUGUAUGGAAGAAAGGCUUCUGCAGGUUUGGAACGGCAUGAUGGGGAUUAUAGUCUUGCUUCUCAUCUCUGUCCUGUGCUUUGAGGUGUUUUCUGCACGAGUGCUCUUUGAUGACACGUGUCAAAUAAACCUAGCCCUGACCCUGUGACCCUUCAGCAUUAGAUGAUCAUCAUCGUUAGUGUGUAAGAGCAGCUGCUGCCAAAUCAAUGAACCUGCUCGCACGCCACCGAAAUCCAUCCCACAAUCCACGGGACUCCUGAUUGGUCGAGAGCUGCCGAAGCACCGCCCCUGCGCUCUCUGGCCAUCGAUAGGUCAAUGACAGGUUUAAAAACAUCGACAGACACCGGCUUGAGGGAAAACCUUGAUUGGAUUCUGAGAGCAGUUCAUGUAUGAAAUCGGACAUGACGGA